RNAcentral lists this ribosomal RNA (396 nucleotides) under uncultured Actinomycetes bacterium. Its description in RNAcentral is "bacterial SSU rRNA". It matches the Rfam family "Bacterial small subunit ribosomal RNA", at positions 9 to 402 of the family's 1533-position model. The record is from RNAcentral. Lineage: Bacteria; Bacillati; Actinomycetota; Actinomycetes.
GAGUUUGAUCGUGGCUACAGGACGAACGCUGGCGGCGUGCUUAACACAUGCAAGUCGAACGGAAAGGCCCCUUCGGGGGUGCUCGAGUGGCGAACGGGUGAGUAACACGUGGGUGAUCUGCCCUGCACUUUGGGAUAAGCCUGGGAAACUGGGUCUAAUACCGGAUAGGACCACAUGCUGCAUGGUGUGUGGUGGAAAGCUUUUGCGGUGUGGGAUGGGCCCGCGGCCUAUCAGCUUGUUGGUGGGGUGAUGGGCCUACCAAGGCGACGACGGGUAGCCGGCCUGAGAGGGUGUCCGGGCCACACUGGGGACUGAGAUACGGCCCAGACCCCUACGGGAGGCAGCAGUGGGGGAAUAUUGCACAAUGGGCGCAAGCCUGAUGCAGCGACGCCGCGU